This 427-nucleotide ribosomal RNA is filed under the name uncultured bacterium. RNAcentral's name for it is "bacterial SSU rRNA". It matches the Rfam family "Bacterial small subunit ribosomal RNA", at positions 355 to 774 of the family's 1533-position model. The record is from RNAcentral.
UGGGGAAUUUUGGACAAUGGGUGCAAGCCUGAUCCAGCCAUGCCGCGUGCAGGAUGAAGGCCCUCGGGUUGUAAACUGCUUUUGUACGGAACGAAAAGCCUCUUUCUAAUAAAGAGGGGUGAUGACGGUACCGUAAGAAUAAGCACCGGCUAACUACGUGCCAGCAGCCGCGGUAAUACGUAGGGUGCGAGCGUUAAUCGGAAUUACUGGGCGUAAAGCGUGCGCAGGCGGUCUUGCAAGACAGUGGUGAAAUCCCCGGGCUCAACCUGGGAACUGCCAUUGUGACUGCAAGGCUGGAGUACGGCAGAGGGGGAUGGAAUUCCGCGUGUAGCAGUGAAAUGCGUAGAUAUGCGGAGGAACACCGAUGGCGAAGGCAGUCCCCUGGGCCUGUACUGACGCUCAUGCGCGAAAGCGUGGGGAGCAAACA